RNAcentral lists this unclassified non-coding RNA (336 nucleotides) under soil metagenome. Its description in RNAcentral is "partial contains 5.8S ribosomal RNA, internal transcribed spacer 2, and large subunit ribosomal RNA". The stretch from base 1 to 120 matches the Rfam family "5.8S ribosomal RNA", at positions 35 to 154 of the family's 154-position model. The record is from RNAcentral.
GAUGAAGAACGCAGCGAAAUGCGAUACGUAAUGUGAAUUGCAGAAUUCAGUGAAUCAUCGAAUCUUUGAACGCACAUUGCGCCCGCUAGUAUUCUGGCGGGCAUGCCUGUCCGAGCGUCAUUUCAACCCAUCAAGCUUAGCGCUUGUGUUGGAGCCCUGCGGCCGCCGCAGCCUCCUAAAAUCAGUGGCGGGCUCGCUAUCACGCUGAGUGCAGUAGUAUUCUUCUCACUCCUGUGGUGUAGCGGGUAACCAGCCGUAAACCCCCCCAUCUAUACAGGUUGACCUCGGAUCAGGUAGGAAUACCCGCUGAACUUAAGCAUAUCAAUAAGCGGAGGA